RNAcentral lists this ribosomal RNA (256 nucleotides) under uncultured bacterium. RNAcentral's name for it is "partial 16S ribosomal RNA". It matches the Rfam family "Bacterial small subunit ribosomal RNA", at positions 524 to 776 of the family's 1533-position model. The record is from RNAcentral.
UACGGGGGGAGCAAGCGUUGUUCGGAUUUACUGGGCGUAAAGGGCGCGUAGGCGGUCAGCACAAGUCAGUUGUGAAAUCUCCGGGCUUAACUCGGAAAGGUCAACUGAUACUGUGCGACUAGAGUGCAGAAGGGGCAACUGGAAUUCUCGGUGUAGCGGUGAAAUGCGUAGAUAUCGAGAGGAACACCUGCGGCGAAGGCGGCUCUCUGGGGACGGUACUGACGCUGAGACGCGAAAAGCGUGGGGAGCGAACAGG